UGGCUCUAGCAUCGAUGAAGAACGCAGCGAAAUGCGAUAAGUAAUGCGAAUUGCAGAAUUCAGUGAAUCAUCGAAUCUUUGAACGCACAUUGCGCCCGCCAGUAUUCUGGCGGGCAUGCCUGUCUGAGCGUCGUUUCGAUCCUUGCGCCCGGCUUCUGUCGGGGGCGGUGUUGGGGAUCGGCCACACCCUUUACUGGGCGGCCGUCCCCUAAAUCCAGUGGCGACCACGCUGUAGCCUCCCCUGCGUAGUACUAAAACCACCUCGCAGGCGGAGAGCGGUGCGGCCCGCCGUAAAACCCCCAACUUUUACAAGGUCGACCUCAGAUCAGGUAGGAAUACCCGCUGA
RNAcentral lists this unclassified non-coding RNA (346 nucleotides) under uncultured fungus. RNAcentral describes it as "partial contains 5.8S ribosomal RNA and internal transcribed spacer 2". The stretch from base 1 to 133 matches the Rfam family "5.8S ribosomal RNA", at positions 22 to 154 of the family's 154-position model. Lineage: Eukaryota; Fungi. The record is from RNAcentral.